UUUCCUCUCCCAUGCAACAUUGUUGCUUCCCUUGAUCACGAAGAAGGUAAUAUGGUUGUGGUCUACUGUGGUGUGAGUGCUUGGUUUUGUUGAGGGUUCUGGGUAUUUCGGAACAUAUAUUUGGGAUUUUCAAGUCUAUUAUGGAAUACCCAUUUCAUAAUACACUUGUAAAUUCAGAAAUGUACUAUGGAACACCUAUUUUGUAAUUCAAUUAAGAACUUUUGAGUUUUUGGC
This 234-nucleotide long non-coding RNA is filed under the name Glycine max (soybean). RNAcentral's name for it is "long non-coding RNA (GMAX_LNC003374)". The record is from RNAcentral. Lineage: Eukaryota; Viridiplantae; Streptophyta; Magnoliopsida; Fabales; Fabaceae.